UACCUGGUCUUGACAUCCACAGAACUUGGCAGAGAUGCCUUGGUGCCUUCGGGAACUGUGAGACAGGUGCUGCAUGGCUGUCGUCAGCUCGUGUUGUGAAAUGUUGGGUUAAGUCCCGCAACGAGCGCAACCCUUAUCCUUUGUUGCCAGCGGUCCGGCCGGGAACUCAAAGGAGACUGCCAGUGAUAAACUGGAGGAAGGUGGGGAUGACGUCAAGUCAUCAUGGCCCUUACGACCAGGGCUACACACGUGCUACAAUGGCAUAUUCAAAGAGAAGCGACCUCGCGAGAGCAAGCGGACCUCAUAAAGCCCUCCUAGUCCGGAUUGGAGUCUGCAACUCGACUCCAUGAAGUCGGAAUCGCUAGUAAUCGUGGAUCAGAAU
This 382-nucleotide ribosomal RNA is filed under the name Citrobacter sp. FER48. RNAcentral describes it as "bacterial SSU rRNA". It matches the Rfam family "Bacterial small subunit ribosomal RNA", at positions 972 to 1355 of the family's 1533-position model. Lineage: Bacteria; Pseudomonadati; Pseudomonadota; Gammaproteobacteria; Enterobacterales; Enterobacteriaceae. The record is from RNAcentral.